GUUUUUAAAAAUGUUUUCUGGGGAAAGGG
This 29-nucleotide non-coding RNA is filed under the name Cricetulus griseus (Chinese hamster). Lineage: Eukaryota; Metazoa; Chordata; Mammalia; Rodentia; Cricetidae. The record is from RNAcentral.